This 68-nucleotide transfer RNA is filed under the name Rhodnius prolixus. RNAcentral's name for it is "tRNA-Pro". Lineage: Eukaryota; Metazoa; Arthropoda; Insecta; Hemiptera; Reduviidae. The record is from RNAcentral.
CAGUAAGUAGUUUAUUAAAAAUGUUAAUUUUGGGGAUUAAUGAUAAGUGUAUUGCUUCUUUCUGAAGU